UACGUAGGGGGCAAGCGUUGUCCGGAUUUAUUGGGCGUAAAGAGCGUGUAGGCGGCCACACAGGUCAGCUGUGAAAACUCGAGGCUCAACCUCGAGACGUCGGUUGAAACCGUAUGGCUAGAGUCCGGAAGAGGAGAGUGGAAUUCCCGGUGUAGCGGUGAAAUGCGCAGAUAUCGGGAAGAACACCCGUGGCGAAGGCGGUUCUCUGGGCCUGUACUGACGCUGAGGAGCGAAAGCGUGGGGAGCGAACAGG
This 253-nucleotide ribosomal RNA is filed under the name uncultured bacterium. RNAcentral's name for it is "partial 16S ribosomal RNA". It matches the Rfam family "Bacterial small subunit ribosomal RNA", at positions 524 to 776 of the family's 1533-position model. The record is from RNAcentral.